UUGAACGCUGGCGGCAGGCCUAACACAUGCAAGUCGAGCGGAUGAAGGGAGCUUGCUCCUGGAUUCAGCGGCGGACGGGUGAGUAAUGCCUAGGAAUCUGCCUGGUAGUGGGGGAUAACGUCCGGAAACGGGCGCUAAUACCGCAUACGUCCUGAGGGAGAAAGUGGGGGAUCUUCGGACCUCACGCUAUCAGAUGAGCCUAGGUCGGAUUAGCUAGUUGGUGGGGUAAAGGCCUACCAAGGCGACGAUCCGUAACUGGUCUGAGAGGAUGAUCAGUCACACUGGAACUGAGACACGGUCCAGACUCCUACGGGAGGCAGCAGUGGGGAAUAUUGGACAAUGGGCGAAAGCCUGAUCCAGCCAUGCCGCGUGUGUGAAGAAGGUCUUCGGAUUGUAAAGCACUUUAAGUUGGGAGGAAGGGCAGUAAGUUAAUACCUUGCUGUUUUGACGUUACCAACAGAAUAAGCACCGGCUAACUUCGU
This 482-nucleotide ribosomal RNA is filed under the name uncultured bacterium. RNAcentral describes it as "partial 16S ribosomal RNA". It matches the Rfam family "Bacterial small subunit ribosomal RNA", at positions 30 to 506 of the family's 1533-position model. The record is from RNAcentral.